Molecule: small RNA, 531 nt
Filed under: Pan troglodytes (chimpanzee)
Lineage: Eukaryota; Metazoa; Chordata; Mammalia; Primates; Hominidae
Description: processed transcript
Source: RNAcentral
AUAUACCAGUUCCCAACGGAUGAUGACACUAUUGCUAAGGUCAACGCUGCAAUGAAUGGACAGUUGCCGUUUGCUGUUGUGGGAAGUAUGGAUGAGGUAAAAGUCGGAAACAAGAUGGUCAAAGCUCGCCAGUACCCUUGGGGUGUUGUACAAGUGGAAAAUGAAAACCACUGUGACUUUGUAAAGCUGCGGGAAAUGCUCAUUUGUACAAAUAUGGAGGACCUGCGAGAGCAGACCCAUACCAGGCACUAUGAGCUUUACAGGCGCUGCAAACUGGAGGAAAUGGGCUUUACAGAUGUGGGCCCAGAAAACAAGCCAGUCAGCUACAGGCCAAAUUUGAGCACCUUAAGAGACUUCACCAAGAAGAGAGAAUGAAGCUUGAAGAAAAGAGAAGACUUUUGGAAGAAGAAAUAAUUGCUUUCUCUAAAAAGAAAGCUACCUCCGAGAUAUUUCACAGCCAGUCCUUUCUGGCAACAGGCAGCAACCUGAGGAAGGACAAGGACCGUAAGAAGUAAGAGGCCCAGCCACCCU